UACAGAGGGUGCAAGCGUUAAUCGGAAUUACUGGGCGUAAAGCGUGCGUAGGUGGUUCUUUAAGUCAGGUGUAAAAUCCCUGGGCUCAACCUGGGAACUGCAUUUGAUACUGAAGAGCUAGAGUGUGAUAGAGGAUAGUGGAAUUCCCGGUGUAGCGGUGAAAUGCGUAGAUAUCGGAGGAACACCAGUGGCGAAGGCGGCUUCCUGGACCGACACUGACGCUGAGGCGCGAAAGCUAGGGGAGCAAACGGG
This 252-nucleotide ribosomal RNA is filed under the name uncultured bacterium. RNAcentral describes it as "partial 16S ribosomal RNA". It matches the Rfam family "Bacterial small subunit ribosomal RNA", at positions 524 to 776 of the family's 1533-position model. The record is from RNAcentral.